GGAGGGGCUUGUUCAACAGGCUGACAGUCCACUGGAGAGUGGGGGAGGGGCAGAGUGUCUAAUACAUGAAGCCUGACCUCCAUUCAACCUCAGCGUGGAACUAUCAAGGGAAACUAUGUCAUUAUCUGGUGUAUUUGCCUGGAUUUUCACUAGAAAACUGUUAGCUAUCAGACCAAAGCCACGAGAACCACUGAGUUAGGAGCCCGCCCUCCAAACCCCCAACUUCACCCCCCUCCUGCCCCAAUUCAUUCAAUACCAAAGCGCCGUACAUCACUUCAGCCAAAACAAAGAGACAAAACGGUUUAUAUGAGGGAUUAGCAUUGUAUAACAUGUAUCUAAUAUUAAAGAGACAACGCUAUCCCUCUGGUAAUCCCUUAGGCUGGGAGGCUUGUGUGUGUGGUGCCUGAUAUCCAGCUGAAUGGAUGGGGCUGCUGGAGUUAGUGCUAUCUGAGCGGAGGGGCUGGGUGGCUUGUGUGUGUGGUGCCUGAUAUCCAGCUGAAUGGAUGGGGCUGCUGGAGUUAGUGCUAUCUGAGCGGAGGGGCUGGGUGGCUUGUGUGUGUGGUGCCUGAUAUCCAGCUGAAUGGAUGGGGCUGCUGGAGUUAGUGCUAUCUGAGAGGAGGGGCUGGGAGGCUUGUGUGUGUGGUGCCUGAUAUCCAGCUGAAUGGAUGGGGCUGCUGGAGUUAGUGCUAUCUGAGCGGAGGGGCUGGGUGGCUUGUGUGUGUGGUGCCUGAUAUCCAGCUGAAUGGAUGGGGCUGCUGGAGUUAGUGCUAUCUGAGAGGAGGGGCUGGGAGGCUUGUGUGUGUGGUGCCUGAUAUCCAGCUGAAUGGAUGGGGCUGCUGGAGUUAGUGCUAUCUGAGCGGAGGGGCUGGGUGGCUUGUGUGUGUGGUGCCUGAUAUCCAGCUGAAUGGAUGGGACUGCUGGAGUUAGUGCUAUCUGAGCGGAGGGGCUGGGAGGCUUGUGUGUGAGGUGCCUGAUAUCCAGCUGAAUGGGUGGGGCUGCUGGAGUUAGUGCUAUCUGAGCGGAGGGGCUGGGAGGCGGAAGCUAGCUGUCUAGUUUGUGUGUGUGUUUGCUGUCAGGAUUGAUUGUAUACGCACGCUGUGGCUGCAAGGUGAGGAGGGCCAGGCUGUGAGAAUGGCUUGCCUACACCAGCCAGGUUACAGGCUGUAUAGUUAGCUGACAGGGUAGGAGGGACCAGCCAGGUUACAGGCUGUAUAGCUAGCUGACAGGCUAGGAGGGACCAGCCAGGUUACAGGCUGUAUAGCUAGCUGACAGGCUAGGAGUGACCAGCCAGGUUACAGGCUGUAUAGCUAGCAGACAGGCUAGGAGGGACCAGCCAGGUUACAGGCUGUAUAGCUAGCUGACAGGCGAGGAGGGACCAGCCAGGUUACAGGCUGUAUAGCUAGCUGACAGGCUAGGAGGGACCAGCCAGGUUACAGGCUGUAUAGCUAGCUGACAGGCGAGGAGGGACCAGCCAGGUUACAGGCUGUAUAGCUAGCUGACAGGCGAGGAGGGACCAGCCAGGUUACAGGCUGUAUAGCUAGCUGACAGGCGAGGAGGGACCAGCCAGGUUACAGGCUGUAUAGCUAGCUGACAGGUGCUUUAAUAAAGAGGCUCUGAGGCAGGGCACAGAGCCCACUGUAAGCAACAGGAGCCAGGUGCCACACAUGCACGCAUGCAAACACACACACACACACACACACACACACACACACACAAACCCUCCCCACUACCCACCCCCUGUAUUCUCAGACGUGGCAGACAAAUUAAUUGGCCGUGAGUGUGUAAUGUAUAUGCCUAGAUAAAGGUGUGCUGUCUAGGCCGAGGCGUAGCGUAACGGCUGUAAUGAUGGCUCCAUUGUGUUGAUGUUGAGGGGUGUAGUUAGCGUUGCGUCGCGGCGCGGCUAGCUGGGGCCCUCGCUCGCUCGGAGGGCUGGAUAGUUCCUGAUUAAUAGCUGAGAAUGCUUUGAAGUGACACAUGAGUGCAAUGGGCUCACCAGGCUAAUAGUAAUAGCAUCAGUGGGUCUGCGUAUGUGUGUGUGUGGAAACGCUCUCACUUCCUCAACCUUCAUUAGGCACUAUUCUCUCUCGCACGCUUUCUCUUGCUAAGACGCUAUCUCUUACACACCAGUGGAUUAAUAUUAUGUAAUAGGCUUCAUUCAUACAGGUGAGAUGUAGGUUAAUAUUAUGGGAUAGUCUUCAUUCAUACAGGUGAGAUGUAGGUUAAUAUUAUGGGAUAGUCUUCAUUCAUACAGGUGAGAUGUAGGUUAAUAUUAUGGGAUAGUCUUCAUUCAUACAGGUGAGAUGUAGGUUAAUAUUAUGGGAUAGUCUUCAUUCAUACAGGUGAGAUGUAGGUUAAUAUUAUGGGAUAGUCUUCAUUCAUACAGGUGAGAUGUAGGUUAAUAUUAUGGGAUAGUCUUCAUUCAUACAGGUGAGAUGUAGGUUAAUAUUAUGGGAUAGUCUUCAUUCAUACAGGUGAGAUGUAGGUUAAUAUUAUGGGAUAGUCUUCAUUCAUACAGGUGAGAUGUAGGUUAAUAUUAUGGGAUAGUCUUCAUUCAUACAGGUGAGAUGUAGGUUAAUAGUUUGGACACCAGUUAGACACUACUGACAUUCUAUUUGGUUUCACAUAUCGACAGAUGAGCCACAGCUGUGUCUUUGUGUGUUUGUGUGUGUAUGUGUGCGUGUUCAUGGACACGUGUGCGUGUGUAUGUUUUAUUGGCACACAUGUGUGUAUACAUAAUCUGAUUACUUUCAGUUAUGUUUAGAUUACUUUUUAUGGAUAUUUUUUUUUUAAUCAGCACAAAUUAGAUUGAGCAAUAAAAGCCCCAUCGGUCUUCUUCAAUUAAUCUUGCUGAUGACAGUACAGAGCACAAUACCAUAGCAAAGAUUAGAAGGGAAGAACUGUUAUUCCAUAGGCUGGGAUCUGCACUAUGCAGAUUUUGCAAGAGCACAUUUUUCACUGGCUGUCCACUGGUCAAUGAUUGAUAGGCAGCUUAAACGUCUUAAAUUGAACCAUUAUUGGGUUAAAAUACACAUAUACAUUUGUGAAGGGGACUAAGCACGAACCCCUGAGGGGCCCCCGUGUUUAGGGUCAGCAUGACAGAUGUGUUGCUGCCUAACCCUCAACACAGGGGCGCAGCCCGUCAGGAAGUCCAGGAUCCAGUUGCAGAGGCAGGUGUUUAGUCCCAGGGUCCUUAGCUUAGUGAUGAGCUUUGAGGGCACUAUGGUGUUGAACACUGAGCUGUAGUCGAUGAACAGCAUUCUCACAUAGGUGUUCCUUUUGUCCUGGUGGGACAGGGCAGUGUGGAGUGCGAUAGAGAUUGUGUCAUCUGUGGAUCUGUUGGGGCGGUAUGCAAAUUGAAGUGGGUUCAGGGUGUCUGGGAUGAUGAGAUUUGUAUGCCUGUGUGUGUGUGUGUGUGUGUGUGUCUCAGUGGCGGUCAGUGCCGUUUAUGAUGAGGGAGAACAAUUUAUUUUUUAUGAACAUGGCCUUAUUUCUAUUGUUAUUCAUAUUCCAUUCACCCAGCUCAAUCUAACAGCGAUAGGUUUAGGCUACUACAUGAUACUUGAAUUUUCCCUAUACCCAUCAUGCGUUUGCUACAACCUAGCCUAUGAAUGAAAGUUUACUGGAAGAGGGACCAGCCAGGUUACAGGCUGUAUAGCUAAGAGUUCCAGUGUUGUGUUGGAUAGUCAUAGCCAGCUAGCUAACAAAGCAUCCCUCUGUCUGAGCAGGGUGUUUGAGUAGGCUAAACUAGCCAGCUAGCUAACAAAGCAUCCCUCUGUCUGAGCAGGGUGUUUCAGUAGGCUAAACUAGCCAGCUGCAUUUGCUAGCUAAUUAAGUGAAACUGAAAGUGAAAAAAAAAGACGAAAUCUCUCUCUCUUGCUUCUCCUUCAUUUUUGAAUAAAUUAAUUUGUCGAAAACUGUUCAGCUAUUGCCUUUCUCUCUCUUUGAGUCAACUACUCACCACAUUUUAUGCACUGCAAUGAUAGCUGUAGCUUAUGCUUUCAGUACUAGAUUCAUUCUCUGAUCUGUAGUUUAUGCUUUCAGUACUAGAUUCAUUCUCUGAUCUGUAGCUUAUGCUUUCAGUACUAGAUUCAUUCUCUGAUCUGUAGCUUAUGCUUUCAGUACUAGAUUCAUUCUUAGAUCCUUUGAUUGGGUGGACAACAUGUCAAUUCAUGCUGCGAGAGCUCUGAUAGGUUGGAGAACGUCCUCCGGAAGUUGUCAUAAUUGCUGUGUAAGUCUAUGGAAGGGGGUGAGAACCAAAAGCCUAGGUUUUGUACCAUGUCAAUGUACCAAGAGGAGGACGGAAGCUAGCAGUCCUCCGGCUACACUAUGGUGCUACCCUACAGAGUGCUGUUGAGGCUACUGUAGACCUUCAUCGCAAAGCAGUGUAUUUACAUCAAUGAUUUGAUGACGUGAAUAUAAUUAGUAUAGUUUCAUCUAAAAGGGAUAACUUUUUUAAUGUUUUAAAAUGUAGAUUUUUAUGAAAUUCACUGAGGAGGAUGGUCCUCCUCCCUUCCUCAUCUGAGGAGCCUCCACUGGUGUGUCUGUCUUUGUGUGUAGAAGUCGAGAGCGGCAGGGCUAGGCCUGUCAGCUGGUGAGCUAAAGUAAACUAUUAGUGGUAGGAGAACACAUGGUCUCCUCAGAUUUGGUAGAAGUGUAUCUAAUUGCUGUGAGGCUGGGGUAUGAUUACAUGAUGGCUAAUUCACUGACAGAGAAUUCACUUGGCUGGGAGUGAGCCAGGAGGCUGCUUAAGUGGCUGAAUGCCUUUUGGUUAGUCUCCAUACUUACCCGAGGUGUUUGUGUGUGUGUGUG
Long non-coding RNA from Oncorhynchus keta (chum salmon), 4809 nucleotides. RefSeq lists it as uncharacterized. Lineage: Eukaryota; Metazoa; Chordata; Actinopteri; Salmoniformes; Salmonidae. The transcript has 3 exons. The record is from RefSeq and is a predicted model, not a curated record.